RNAcentral lists this ribosomal RNA (749 nucleotides) under uncultured bacterium. RNAcentral's name for it is "bacterial SSU rRNA". It matches the Rfam family "Bacterial small subunit ribosomal RNA", at positions 8 to 796 of the family's 1533-position model. The record is from RNAcentral.
AGAGUUUGAUCCUGGCUCAGGGUGAACGCUAGUAGUAUGCUUAACACAUGCGAGUUGAACGAAGAAAUUUUUUCUUAGUAGCGUACGGGUGAGUAGAACAUAGGGAUCUGCCUUUUAGUUUAGUCUAAAAUACUGAAAUAUAUUGAAAGAUUUGUAGCUUGAUGGUUUCCACAAGUUUAAUAAUCGCUAAAAGAUGAACCUAUGUAGGAUUAGGUAGUUGGUAGUGGUAAAGGCCUACCAAGCCUGUGAUCCUUAGCUGUUCUGAGAGGUUGAUCAGCCACACUGGGCCUGAGACAAGGCCCAGGCUUCGUUGGAAGCCAGCAGUGAGGAAUUUUGGACAAUGAGCGAAAGCUUGAUCCAGCAAUACUACAUGAGGGAUGACGGCUUUUAAGUUGUAAACUUCUUUACUUGAGGAGGAUAAUGACAGUACUCAAGAAAAUAGCCCCGGCUAACUUCGUGCCAGCAGCCGCGGUAAGACGAAGGGGGCGAGCGUUAUCCGUAAUGACUGGGCGUAAAGGGUUCGUAGGCGGGAAAUUGUGUUUUUGGUGAAAAAUUAAAGCUUAACUUUUUUCGUGCCAUUUUAACUUUUUUCCUUUGAGUUUGAGAGGGGAUAGCAGAAUUUCUCAUGGAGGGGUGAUAUCCGGAGAUAUGAGAAGGAAUACCAGCGGCGAAGGCGGCUAUCUAGAUCAAAACUGACGCUGAGGAACGAAAGCAUGGGGAGCAAACAGGAUUAGAUACCCUGGUAGUCC